CUUGGUCAUUUAGAGGAAGUAAAAGUCGUAACAAGGUUUCCGUAGGUGAACCUGCGGAAGGAUCAUUAAUGAAAUGCAAGGACGCUCUUUUUAGAGGUCCGACCAACUCAUUUUCCUUCACCCUGUGCACAAACUGUUUUUACACAUUUUACACACAAAAGUCUAAGAAUGACAUCGUCUCUUAAUUGAGCAUAAACAAACAAAACUUUCGGCAACGGAUCUCUUGGCUCCCGCAUCGAUGAAGAACGCAGCGAAAUGCGAUACGUAAUGUGAAUUGCAGAAUUCAGUGAAUCAUCGAAUCUUUGAACGCACCUUGCACUCUUUGGUAUUCCGAAGAGUAUGUCUGUUUGAGUGUCGUGAAACUCUCAACCCCCCCCUUUUUGUAACGAGAUGGGCGUGGGAUUGGAUUAUGGCUGUCUGUCGGUUCUAAUCGAAUCGGCUCGGCUGAAAUACAUGAGCGACCACACUGAAUACAGUGACGGCUUGACUCGGCGUAAUAAUCUUUUCGCUGAGGACGUCCAUUUUUUCAGAUAGGCGCUUCUAAUGCUAUAAAUCUUUUUAAGCUUUAGACCUCAAAUCAGUCAGGACUACCCGCUGAACUUAAGCAUAUCAAUAAGCGGAGGAAAAGAAACUAACAAGGAUUCCCCUAGUAACGGCGAGUGAAGUGGGAAAAGCUCAACUUUGAAAUCUGGCAGCUUCGCUGUCCGAGUUGUAGUCUCGAGAAGCGUUUUCCGUGUCAAUGCAUGCAUGAGUCUGUUGGGAUACAGCGUCAUAGAGGGUGAGAACCCCGUUCGUGGCAUGCCUUUUGAUACUCUGUGAUACGUUUUCGAUGAGUCGAGUUGUUUGGGAAUGCAGCUCAAAGCGGGUGGUAAAUUCCAUCUAAAGCUAAAUAUUGGCGGGAGACCGAUAGCAAACAAGUACCGUGAGGGAAAGAUGAAAAGCACUUUGGAAAGAGAGUUAAAAGUACGCGAAAUUGUCGAAAGGGAAACGCUUGAAGUCGGACGUGCAGGGCAACUUGCAGGCCAACAUCGGUUUUGACAGCUGGAUAAAGGCGGAAGAAGGUAGCAGCUCCGGCUGUGUUAUAGCUUCCAGCUGAAUACAGAUGACGAGACCGAGGACCGCAGCGCAAGCUUAGGAUGUUGGUGGAACGGCUUUAAACGACCCGUCUUGAAACACGGACC
This 1181-nucleotide ribosomal RNA is filed under the name uncultured fungus. RNAcentral describes it as "eukaryotic LSU rRNA". The stretch from base 568 to 1181 matches the Rfam family "Eukaryotic large subunit ribosomal RNA", at positions 1 to 667 of the family's 3401-position model. Lineage: Eukaryota; Fungi. The record is from RNAcentral.